Suricata suricatta (meerkat) is the source of this 401-nucleotide long non-coding RNA. RefSeq lists it as uncharacterized. The transcript is spliced from 2 exons. The record is from RefSeq and is a predicted model, not a curated record. Lineage: Eukaryota; Metazoa; Chordata; Mammalia; Carnivora; Herpestidae.
GACUGCCAAGUGUAGUCCCUAGCUAGCAACCUCUUCACAGGAACAAGGCCACCCCACGGAAGAGAGCAUGCAUCUUUGAUGAACAGUCAUCCAACCUUCACUGUGAAUUUAUGUCACAUAAAAACAAGCAAAAGUUCCACACUAAGAAAUGCAUCUUGUAGAUUCGCUGGUUAAAGUACAUCAAGCUACAUGUACAAGGAGGCUCACUGAAGCAUUUUAUAUAGUUGCAAAAAAGCAGAAUGAGCAGACAAGAACUAGAAACAACUUCCACAUCUUCCACCAAGAAGCCUGUAAGUUCAGGCAUAUGGCACAACCCAACGGUGGUUACCAGGCAGUACAUAAAAAGAACAAUGUGGAGCCAUGUGCCCUAAAAAAUAAAAGAAUUUCCAAAAAAGCCAGAA